AUGUAUGCCUUGAAUUAUGUAAUGUGGUGUUAUGAUUACGAUAGUUGAAAUUCCAUCUUUGAUCUUUCCAACAAGACUCUGUAUUGUGUAUACAUUAAAACAAAUUAUCCUAGAGAAUCUUGAGGUUACAUGAAGUAAGUGACUCCGAAAGUAGGAACAAUUCAAGCCUGUCCAUAAGUAGAUACUACGUACCACUUAUUACUGAUUCACCUAA
This is a long non-coding RNA of Arabidopsis thaliana (thale cress), 214 nucleotides long. RefSeq annotates it as other RNA. The transcript has a single exon. The record is from RefSeq. Lineage: Eukaryota; Viridiplantae; Streptophyta; Magnoliopsida; Brassicales; Brassicaceae.